Molecule: ribosomal RNA, 270 nt
Filed under: uncultured archaeon
Lineage: Archaea
Description: partial 16S ribosomal RNA
Rfam family: Archaeal small subunit ribosomal RNA
Source: RNAcentral
CAGCACCUCAAGGGGUCAGGAUGAUUAUUGGGCCUAAAGCAUCCGUAGCCUGCUUUGUUAGUUUUCGGUUAAAUCCAUACGCUCAACGUAUGGGCUGCCGGGAAUACUGCAAAGCUAGGGAGUGGGAGAGGUAGACGGUACUCGGUAGGAAGGGGUAAAAUCCUUUGAUCUAUUGAUGACCACCUGUGGCGAAGGCGGUCUACCAGAACACGUCCGACGGUGAGGGAUGAAAGCUGGGGGAGCAAACCGGAUUAGAUACCCGAGUAGUCC